Molecule: long non-coding RNA, 369 nt
Filed under: Homo sapiens (human)
Lineage: Eukaryota; Metazoa; Chordata; Mammalia; Primates; Hominidae
Description: HSALNT0277972
Source: RNAcentral
GCUCAGCUGGGUGGGCUGGUGGGAGGUGGGGCUGGGCUCUGUUACCUAACAGUGGAGGAGCAGCUGGGGAAAGGAGCAGGGUCAUGGCUCCCUGCCCGUGGUGUUGCCUCUGAGGUGCUGUGUGAGGGCAGGCAUCUUCGCCCCUCUCUGGGCCUCGGGACCAUAUCACCCCUUCUGGGGGUAUUGGUUCAUCUUGAAUCCCUCCCCCUUCCAGCUCAGGCCUGCUGGAAUGGGCUGCCCCAGAGCGAAGGGAGGAAUAGUCUCUGUCUCCUCCCCACCCGCACUCCACACAGGUGUGAAUCAGCCCAGAGGAGAGUGGCUCUGACACGAGGGGGCACAACGCGAAGACUUGGGGUGUCGAGUCUCUGG